Molecule: ribosomal RNA, 1468 nt
Filed under: Vibrio sp. 712i1
Lineage: Bacteria; Pseudomonadati; Pseudomonadota; Gammaproteobacteria; Vibrionales; Vibrionaceae
Description: bacterial SSU rRNA
Rfam family: Bacterial small subunit ribosomal RNA
Source: RNAcentral
CGAGUUAUCUGAACCUUCGGGGAACGAUAACGGCGUCGAGCGGCGGACGGGUGAGUAAUGCCUAGGAAAUUGCCCUGAUGUGGGGGAUAACCAUUGGAAACGAUGGCUAAUACCGCAUGAUGCCUACGGGCCAAAGAGGGGGACCUUCGGGCCUCUCGCGUCAGGAUAUGCCUAGGUGGGAUUAGCUAGUUGGUGAGGUAAGGGCUCACCAAGGCGACGAUCCCUAGCUGGUCUGAGAGGAUGAUCAGCCACACUGGAACUGAGACACGGUCCAGACUCCUACGGGAGGCAGCAGUGGGGAAUAUUGCACAAUGGGCGCAAGCCUGAUGCAGCCAUGCCGCGUGUGUGAAGAAGGCCUUCGGGUUGUAAAGCACUUUCAGUCGUGAGGAAGGUAGUGUAGUUAAUAGCUGCAUUAUUUGACGUUAGCGACAGAAGAAGCACCGGCUAACUCCGUGCCAGCAGCCGCGGUAAUACGGAGGGUGCGAGCGUUAAUCGGAAUUACUGGGCGUAAAGCGCAUGCAGGUGGUUUGUUAAGUCAGAUGUGAAAGCCCGGGGCUCAACCUCGGAAUAGCAUUUGAAACUGGCAGACUAGAGUACUGUAGAGGGGGGUAGAAUUUCAGGUGUAGCGGUGAAAUGCGUAGAGAUCUGAAGGAAUACCGGUGGCGAAGGCGGCCCCCUGGACAGAUACUGACACUCAGAUGCGAAAGCGUGGGGAGCAAACAGGAUUAGAUACCCUGGUAGUCCACGCCGUAAACGAUGUCUACUUGGAGGUUGUGGCCUUGAGCCGUGGCUUUCGGAGCUAACGCGUUAAGUAGACCGCCUGGGGAGUACGGUCGCAAGAUUAAAACUCAAAUGAAUUGACGGGGGCCCGCACAAGCGGUGGAGCAUGUGGUUUAAUUCGAUGCAACGCGAAGAACCUUACCUACUCUUGACAUCCAGAGAACUUUCCAGAGAUGGAUUGGUGCCUUCGGGAACUCUGAGACAGGUGCUGCAUGGCUGUCGUCAGCUCGUGUUGUGAAAUGUUGGGUUAAGUCCCGCAACGAGCGCAACCCUUAUCCUUGUUUGCCAGCGAGUAAUGUCGGGAACUCCAGGGAGACUGCCGGUGAUAAACCGGAGGAAGGUGGGGACGACGUCAAGUCAUCAUGGCCCUUACGAGUAGGGCUACACACGUGCUACAAUGGCGCAUACAGAGGGCGGCCAACUUGCGAAAGUGAGCGAAUCCCAAAAAGUGCGUCGUAGUCCGGAUUGGAGUCUGCAACUCGACUCCAUGAAGUCGGAAUCGCUAGUAAUCGUGGAUCAGAAUGCCACGGUGAAUACGUUCCCGGGCCUUGUACACACCGCCCGUCACACCAUGGGAGUGGGCUGCAAAAGAAGUAGGUAGUUUAACCUUCGGGGGGACGCUUACCACUUUGUGGUUCAUGACUGGGGUGAAGUCGUAACAAGGUAGCGCUAGGGGAACCUGGCGCUG